This 255-nucleotide ribosomal RNA is filed under the name uncultured prokaryote. Its description in RNAcentral is "partial 16S ribosomal RNA". It matches the Rfam family "Bacterial small subunit ribosomal RNA", at positions 524 to 776 of the family's 1533-position model. The record is from RNAcentral.
UACGGGGGGGGCAAGCGUUGUUCGGAAUUACUGGGCGUAAAGGGCGCGUAGGCGGUCAGACCAAGUCGCGUGUGAAAUGCCAGGGCUUAACUCUGGCACGCUCGCGCGAUACUGGUCGGCUAGAGUGUGGAAGAGGAUGCUGGAAUUCCCGGUGUAGCGGUGAAAUGCGUAGAUAUCGGGAGGAACGCCAGUGGCGAAGGCGGGCAUCUGGGCCAACACUGACGCUGAUGCGCGAAAGCUAGGGGAGCAAACAGG